UUUGCAGGUUGACAAUUGACAUAAUGUUUUCGAUUUGUUUUUUAAACAAAAAAUACAGCUUAACACUGAAACAUGUGUGAAAUCUUAAAUAAAACUUGUAAAACAUGCUUCAGUACUGGAAGGACAACAAGUUCGAUUACAGAUUUGAACAUUCUACUUACUACACUUAAUAUACGGGAGAUAGAUACAUCUAAUGGUGAAAUUUGUUGGGAAUGCAAAGCAGUUGUGUUCAAGUUCUACGAUUUUAAGCAAAAAGCAAUUAGGCUACAGAAUUUACUGGCUGCAUCAAACCAGAAUAAACUUAAAACAUUCAGCUCACUAACAUGCAAAACAAAGAAUAUAUAUGAUUUUGAAUAUAAUUAUGAAGAUGAAGUCAAAGUUGAAUCAAUAAAAAUAGAGCUUUUAAGUUCUGAAAUCAAUUUCAAAGAUGAAAAUACAGAUUUUAAAACUACUUAUGAUAUAAGUGAUAAUAUAGAUAAAACAAAUCAUAAAAAGAAAAAUCAGAUAAUAAAUAAAGCUAAGUCAAUUAAAGAAAGGAUUCUAAAUUCAAAAAUAAUAGAUAAAAUAGAAAACAAAGAUUUAAAAAAUGGAAUCGAGGACAAGCUUAUAGAUGAGAAAGAAUUAAGAAAUAAGUUUAAAACGAUAAUUUAUACAGAAGAGGAGUUAUUGUUGAAUAGAGAAGAGAAGAGAAACCAUCCAAAUUUCAAGAAGAUACCAUUCAAAUGUGAUACAUGUGUACUUGGGUUUAUUAAAAAGGAUUCUCUUGAUUUACAUGUGGAAAAAUACCAUAGACAGACCAUAGGGGCGUAUGAAUGUAAAAUAUGUGAAAAGCGUUUCGCCACUCAGCAUAACUUGCACAAACACACCAAGAACCACUAUGUAUCACAUCGCUGUUUAUUCUGUAGAUAUGAGACUGUCUCUCAGCAUGCUGCAAUCAUACACUGUAGAGAUAAACACUUUGAGGAUGAAGCUGGUAGAGUGCGUUGUAGCCAGUGUGACAGUGUAUUCACGUCUGUAGAGGAAUUAGAAAUACACAUGUCAAAGCAUACAAUAUCUUGUCAGGAAUGCGGGAGAUACUUCAAGGGGAAGCACACCCUUAGAAUGCAUAUAAGACGCAUCCACAACGCCCAUAGACAAUACAUAUGUGACAGCUGUCAAAGGACAUUCAACACGAAAAGCCGGCUCGAGUCGCACAUGGCAACACACAGUGUCGCUCUCGCUGAAAAGCUGUCAUAUUGCGGCAUUUGUAAAGUUCAAUAUAAAAACAUAUACGUGUAUAGAAAUCAUUUGAAGAACAGCGUCAAUCAUUCAGAGAGAGCUUAUUCAUAUCCGAGUGGCGUUUAGUGAACCAUAGACAAAAGCAUCACGGACUAGCGAGGACCAGAGACCACAUUUGUAACAUCUGUGGCAAGAGGUUUUAUACGUCAUCUACGCUCCGUUCGCACCAGCUCACACACUCCGAAGUGAGGAGCUUCAUGUGUGAGGACUGCGGGCACACAUUCAAACAGCGGCCUGCGUUGUAUACACAUUAUCGUCUCGUACAUAGAGGCAUUAAACGGAA
This 1561-nucleotide unclassified non-coding RNA is filed under the name Zerene cesonia (dogface butterfly). RNAcentral describes it as "zinc finger protein 28-like, transcript variant X2". Lineage: Eukaryota; Metazoa; Arthropoda; Insecta; Lepidoptera; Pieridae. The record is from RNAcentral.